Molecule: ribosomal RNA, 1110 nt
Filed under: Triticum aestivum (bread wheat)
Lineage: Eukaryota; Viridiplantae; Streptophyta; Magnoliopsida; Poales; Poaceae
Description: partial small subunit ribosomal RNA
Source: RNAcentral
CCUACUGUUGAUGCUUCUUUGGCUCCUGCUCCUGCGGCGGCUGAGGAGGAUGACGAUUAUGCGGGCGAUUAUGAGGAUGAGGUUGAUCAAAAUCAGAACUACGUGCAGCCACCAGCACCACCACCAGCAGGUCGACCUCAGGUAUAUAUUCGCAACGGUAGGCCGGCACCACCACCUCAGGUACGAGAUCAUGACCAUCUCCCUAAACUGAAAUUGAAUAUUCCACCAUUUGAGGGUAGAUAUGUUCCUGAUAUAUAUCUUACUUGGGAGUUAGAAACUGAACAACGAUUUACAUGUUUACAAUAUCCUGAGGACAAACAUGUUCCUGCUGCUGUUUGUGCUUUCACUAGCUUUGCAUGUGUUUGGUGGUCUGAACAUUGCAGAUUAUAUCCUGUUCCAGCUACUUGGGCUGCUUUGAAAACUGCUAUGCGUACUCGUUGGGUUCCACCAUAUUAUCAACGUGAAUUACUUCAAAAAUUGCAGCGUUUAAGACAAGGGAAAAAUUCUGUAGAAAAAUAUUAUCAGGAAUUACAAACUGGCAUGAUUAGAUGUGGUAUUGUUGAGGAGAAUGAAGCUAUGCUUGCACGUUUUAUGGGUGGAUUAAAUAAAGAGAUUCAGACCAUUCUAGAGUAUAAGGAUUAUAAUAAUAUCACUCGUUUAUUCCAUCUUGCUUGUAAAGCUGAACGUGAAGUGCAGGAUCGACAGCCAUUGGCGCGAACUAACUUUUCUGCAGGUCGACCUUCAUCAUGGACACCGCGUGCAUCUUCUACUUCCACUUCACCAUCACCUCCAUCAGGUGCCACCUCCGGCCGUGAUACAAGAAAGCAGGCACAACCACCACUCUCUGCCAAGAGCACACCUGCUGGGCCUGCGCAGAGCUCUUCUUCUUCCAUGGCAUCGACAGGGCACACAAGUGAUAUUAUUUGUCGUCGUUCUAAGGGAAGAGGACAUUUUGCGAGAGAAUGCAAAUCUCAGCGUGUUAUGAUUGCUACUGAGGAUGGUGGGUAUGAGUCCGCUAGUGACUAUGAUGAGGAGACUUUGGCUCUUAUUACCCGUGAAGAACAUGGUGGAGAUGAUUCUGAAAAUGAGACGCAAUACAUGGCUCCUGAA